UUCGAUUCUGACUCAGGACGAACGCUGGCGGCAUGCCUAACACAUGCAAGUCGAACGGGGGUAGCAAUACCCUAGUGGCGAACGGGUGAGUAACACAUAAGCAAUCUGCCCUUCACAGGGGGAUAACAGCGGGAAACUGCUGCUAAUACCGCAUAAGACCACGGUACCGCAUGGUACAGGGGUAAAAACGAAUCAGUGGUGAAGGAUGAGCUUAUGUCCCAUCAGCUAGUUGGUGAGAUAACAGCCCACCAAGGCGACGAUGGGUAGCCGACCUGAGAGGGUGAUCAGCCACACUGGAACUGAGACACGGUCCAGACUCCUACGAGAGGCAGCAGUGGGGAAUAUUGGGCAAUGGAAGGAAACUCUUACCCAGCAAUGCCGCGUGAGUGAAGAAGGUCUUCGGAUUGUAAAGCUCUUUGAUUGGGGACGAAGAAAGUGACGGUACCCAAAGAACAAGCCCCGGCUAACUACGUGCCAGCCGCCGC
RNAcentral lists this ribosomal RNA (485 nucleotides) under uncultured bacterium. RNAcentral's name for it is "bacterial SSU rRNA". It matches the Rfam family "Bacterial small subunit ribosomal RNA", at positions 12 to 518 of the family's 1533-position model. The record is from RNAcentral.